UUUUAUGACAUUAAACAUUUGAGUACUUCAAGAUUAAUUUUUAGGGUGCAGGUAUAGCUUACAUUAAUUAAUGAAUCAAAUGAUAGUGUGACCAAGCGUCGAAUAGUGCCAUCUACAGAUAAUCAGCAUAUACCUUAAAGCUCGUGGAUACGCAGGCAUCGGGACUGCGGAGGCUAGUGACUACGUGCUUGUGCAGACAAGUACGUCACACUUAACACAGGUGUAGCGGAUUUCAACAUGACAGUCUCCAACCUGACUGCACUGGCAGACUGACGUGGCUUCUGAGUUGAGUGGAACACAGAAACGUAACCAAAACUAUCUGCAACCACUGAAAUAUUCAAGGGAGGCGAUUCUCUAGGUAGCUGGCGAAAGAUCAAGGUCAGUAUGAGCACAAGGACUGAUUUAAAUAUUAUCAUAGACACCUACGUAGUCUGUAUGUGUUGGCAACACAUGGAUUGUCAGAAGGCCAACAAAAAAUAUAAGACUUUUCAGUGAGUCUUAAUAUGUCCCCACACCGUAGGUCUCUAUUUUCAUGAAGUGGUGACCAGUGAAGUGGUGUUUUAACAGUAAUAAUUCUGAAGGAGAGAUACUAAAAGAUACCUGAAACCCCAAUGCUCAUAUUUCCCUAGGCUUUCUGUGUCCCUUGUUCCUCUGCUUUGAGUGUAUCAUUAUGUUUGGCCCUGACAAUGUAUAAACUGAAUAAUGUUUUAAACGCUCUUUCAGUGGGUAUGCUUUACAGUAUGUAGCAUACACAUCAACUCUAAACAAAUGUUUAAUUCUUACAAAACCAUCUUCCUUUAUCAAGACAUUUAGCUUUCUGGUUGUUAUGCUUUGCGAUUGCGUUAUACGGAGGGGUAAUCCUUCCCAGGGAUAUGUGAUGUAAUGGCUUUGUUUAAACCAAUAGAGUGCCACUUCUGCCGUGCAGCAGUGUCUGCAUCUGGCCAAACUGAGGAGUGAGAAUAUUCUGUUUUAAUUACAAUCCGGCUUAAGAUGCAGCGCUGUUGUCCUGGCAUGUCAUCCCACAUCAGGACUGUUAAGUCCCGUUUACACAAUGUCCAGAGGCUCCUUCAUUGCCUUGUGACAUGAAUUAGAUGUGUGUGGAGUUUUAUUUUUGUUUUCUUCUGCACUGUGUCCAUAGUCCUAUUUGGCUGUGUCACUGAUUUAUUUUUGUGGUAAUUUGGUGAUUGUGUUCAUGUCCUGUUAGAUCUGCCUUAAGGAACAUGUGUAAGGGUAUUUUGUGUCCUUGACUACCACUGUGGUGAUGGCUCCCACUGGCACGGGAAGGUUGAGAGGGGAGAGGAAGUGUGUGUGUGUGUGUGUGUGUGUGUGAGUGUGAGAGAGUGAAUGAGAGCUGGAGAGUUCAGUAUGAUAUCAAAAGAGCUGUUGAACCAAGUGUUAUUGACCCACGUAAGAUGGCUAGUUACUAAAAAAUUAUUAAAAAAAACAAAGCAAUAAAAAAA
Molecule: long non-coding RNA, 1460 nt
Organism: Clupea harengus (Atlantic herring)
Lineage: Eukaryota; Metazoa; Chordata; Actinopteri; Clupeiformes; Clupeidae
Gene: mtus1b
Exons: 2
Source: RefSeq, a predicted model, not a curated record